Molecule: non-coding RNA, 248 nt
Organism: Paramuricea clavata
Lineage: Eukaryota; Metazoa; Cnidaria; Anthozoa; Malacalcyonacea; Plexauridae
Source: the annotation of a GenBank genome assembly
CCACAGCCAAACCUUUCUCCACUGAUCUCGAAAUUUUUGAGGUGGUGGCAACACUAAAACUACCGAUUUGUUGACCACUUUGAAAGAAAGAGCUGAAAUAACGCUGACAUACAACCAGCUUGGAGUUAAUCCAUGUUCUUCCAUACUAAAAAUAUGUUAUCAUCGUGAGUAUUGAAUUUCACCAAGAUAUCGAACGAUUGAUCGCACGAAUACGAUAUAUACAUUACGUAUUUACGUUACUAGUAAAU